Non-coding RNA from Aedes albopictus (Asian tiger mosquito), 58 nucleotides. Lineage: Eukaryota; Metazoa; Arthropoda; Insecta; Diptera; Culicidae. The record is from Rfam.
UAGCCUAGUGGUUAAGGCUGUGGAUCGCCAAUCCGGAGACGGCGGGUUCGAUUCCCGU